This 397-nucleotide ribosomal RNA is filed under the name uncultured bacterium. RNAcentral describes it as "partial 16S ribosomal RNA". It matches the Rfam family "Bacterial small subunit ribosomal RNA", at positions 360 to 774 of the family's 1533-position model. The record is from RNAcentral.
AAUAUUGCGCAAUGGAGGAAACUCUGACGCAGCGACGCCGCGUGAACGCUGAAGGCCUUAGGGUUGUAAAGCUCUUUCACCGAUGAAGAUAAUGACGGUAGUCGGAGAAGAAGCCCCGGCUAACUUGGUGCCAGCAGCCGCGGUAAUACGAAGGGGGCUAGCGUUGUUCGGAUUUACUGGGCGUAAAGCGCACGUAGGCGGAUUGGUCAGUUAGAGGUGAAAUCCCGAAGCUCAACUUCGGAACUGCCUUUAAUACUGCCAGUCUCGAGUCCGGAAGAGGUAAGUGGAACUCCUAGUGUAGAGGUGGAAUUCGUAGAUAUUAGGAAGAACACCAGUGGCGAAGGCGGCUUACUGGUCCGGAACUGACGCUGAGGUGCGAAAGCGUGGGGAGCAAACA